RNAcentral lists this ribosomal RNA (460 nucleotides) under uncultured bacterium. Its description in RNAcentral is "bacterial SSU rRNA". It matches the Rfam family "Bacterial small subunit ribosomal RNA", at positions 29 to 534 of the family's 1533-position model. The record is from RNAcentral.
AACGAACGCUGGCGGCAUGCCUAACACAUGCAAGCCGAACGAGACCUUCGGGUCUAGUGGCGCACGGGUGCGUAACGCGUGGGAAUCUGCCCCUUGGUUCGGAAUAACAGCGAGAAAUUGCUGCUAAUACCGGAUAAUGACGUAAGUCCAAAGAUUUAUCGCCAAGGGAUGAGCCCGCGUAGGAUUAGCUAGUUGGUGUGGUAAAGGCGCACCAAGGCGACGAUCCUUAGCUGGUCUGAGAGGAUGAUCAGCCACACUGGGACUGAGACACGGCCCAGACUCCUACGGGAGGCAGCAGUGGGGAAUAUUGGACAAUGGGCGAAAGCCUGAUCCAGCAAUGCCGCGUGAGUGAUGAAGGCCUUAGGGUUGUAAAGCUCUUUUACCCGGGAUGAUAAUGACAGUACCGGGAGAAUAAGCUCCGGCUAACUCCGUGCCAGCAGCCGCGGUAAAGUGACUACUG